CAGCAGUCGCCACGGGAAUACAGAGGGUGCGAGCGUUAAUCGGAUUUACUGGGCGUAAAGCGUGCGUAGGCGGCUUUUUAAGUCGGAUGUGAAAUCCCUGAGCUUAACUUAGGAAUUGCAUUCGAUACUGGGAAGCUAGAGUAUGGGAGAGGAUGGUAGAAUUCCAGGUGUAGCGGUGAAAUGCGUAGAUAUCGGAAGGAACACCAGUGGCGAAGGCGGCUACCUGGACUGACACUGACACUGAGGCGCGAAAGCGUGGGGAGCAAACAGGAUUAGAUACCCCUGUAGUCCCUGUCUCUUAUAC
RNAcentral lists this ribosomal RNA (304 nucleotides) under uncultured bacterium. Its description in RNAcentral is "partial 16S ribosomal RNA". It matches the Rfam family "Bacterial small subunit ribosomal RNA", at positions 506 to 807 of the family's 1533-position model. The record is from RNAcentral.